GAGGGAUUAGUUAAAAAAUAACAUUAGCAUGUCAAACUAAAGUUGUCUCACCCCGGGCACCCCUCU
Molecule: transfer RNA, 66 nt
Filed under: Calcaritermes cf. nigriceps
Lineage: Eukaryota; Metazoa; Arthropoda; Insecta; Blattodea; Kalotermitidae
Description: tRNA-Asp
Source: RNAcentral